CAAACCACCUGCCAUAUGAUGAGGGAGGUGAAAGCCAGGAUCUUAGAAAAUCAAGCAGAGUAGUGUGCCAGGGUCAUACUCCUCAUGGCAUCAGCUGGGGCUUCAGUUAUGCAACCCAUUUCACCCUCCCUAAAAAGUUAACUGGCAGACAUGAUCUUCAUAGUUCAUCUGAGGAUCUGGUUCUGGUGUUAGUGAGGGCAAACUACUGAGUAGCCUCAGUGAGACGACGGAGUAUCCCUCUAGGCAGUUUUGUAGAAAACAUCUCCUUCCAAAAUGACUGCAUAAAAACUCCU
Molecule: long non-coding RNA, 293 nt
Filed under: Mus spicilegus (steppe mouse)
Lineage: Eukaryota; Metazoa; Chordata; Mammalia; Rodentia; Muridae
Description: lncRNA (ENSMSIG00000025277.1)
Source: RNAcentral